RNAcentral lists this ribosomal RNA (279 nucleotides) under uncultured bacterium. RNAcentral's name for it is "partial 16S ribosomal RNA". It matches the Rfam family "Bacterial small subunit ribosomal RNA", at positions 506 to 784 of the family's 1533-position model. The record is from RNAcentral.
UGCCAGCAGCCGCGGUAACACGGAGGCCCCGAGCGUUGUUCGGAUUUACUGGGCGUAAAGAGUGCGUAGGCGGCGAGGUAAGUCAGAUGUGAAAUCUUGGGGCUCAACCCCGAAACUGCAUCCGAUACUGCCUUGCUAGAGGACUGGAGAGGAAACUGGAAUUUGUGGUGUAGCAGUGAAAUGCGUGGAUAUCACAAGGAAGACCAAUGGCGAAGGCAGGUUCCUGGACAGUUCCUGACGCUGAGGCACGAAGGCCAGGGUAGCGAAAAGGAUUAGAUA